CAGCAGCCGCGGUAAUACGAAGGGGGCUAGCGUUGUUCGGAAUUACUGGGCGUAAAGCGCACGUAGGCGGAUAUUUAAGUCAGGGGUGAAAUCCCAGAGCUCAACUCUGGAACUGCCUUUGAUACUGGGUAUCUUGAGUAUGGAAGAGGUAAGUGGAAUUCCGAGUGUAGAGGUGAAAUUCGUAGAUAUUCGGAGGAACACCAGUGGCGAAGGCGGCUUACUGGUCCAUUACUGACGCUGAGGUGCGAAAGCGUGGGGAGCAAACAGGAUUAGAUACCCGCGUAGUCCCUGUCUCUUAUAC
RNAcentral lists this ribosomal RNA (301 nucleotides) under uncultured bacterium. RNAcentral describes it as "partial 16S ribosomal RNA". It matches the Rfam family "Bacterial small subunit ribosomal RNA", at positions 509 to 807 of the family's 1533-position model. The record is from RNAcentral.